ACGGAGGUUGCAAGCGUUGUUCGGAAUGACUGGGCGUAAAGGGAGCGCAGGCGGCUUUUUAAGUCCGGCGUGAAAGCCCGGGGCUCAACCCCGGCGGGUCGUCGGAUACUGGGAAGCUCGAGUACGGAAGAGGAGAGUGGAAUUCCAGGUGUAGCGGUGAAAUGCGUAGAUAUCUGGAGGAACACCGGUGGCGAAAGCGGCUCUCUGGUCCGAUACUGACGCUCAGGCUCGAAAGCGUGGGGAGCAAACGG
This 251-nucleotide ribosomal RNA is filed under the name uncultured prokaryote. Its description in RNAcentral is "partial 16S rRNA". It matches the Rfam family "Bacterial small subunit ribosomal RNA", at positions 525 to 775 of the family's 1533-position model. The record is from RNAcentral.